GACGAACGCUGGCGGCGUGCUUAACACAUGCAAGUCGAACGGAAAGGCCCUGCUUUUGUGGGGUGCUCGAGUGGCGAACGGGUGAGUAACACGUGAGUAACCUGCCCUUGACUUUGGGAUAACUUCAGGAAACUGGGGCUAAUACCGGAUAGGAGCUCCUGCUGCAUGGUGGGGGUUGGAAAGUUUCGGCGGUUGGGGAUGGACUCGCGGCUUAUCAGCUUGUUGGUGGGGUAGUGGCUUACCAAGGCUUUGACGGGUAGCCGGCCUGAGAGGGUGACCGGCCACAUUGGGACUGAGAUACGGCCCAGACUCCUACGGGAGGCAGCAGUGGGGAAUAUUGCACAAUGGGCGGAAGCCUGAUGCAGCAACGCCGCAUGCGGGAUGACGGCCUUCGGGUUGUAAACCGCUUUCGCCUGUGACGAAGCGUGAGUGACGGUAAUGGGUAAAGAAGCACCGGCUAACUACGUGCCAGCAGCCGCGGUGAUACGUAGGGUGCGAGCGUUGUCCGGAUUUAUUGGGCGUAAAGGGCUCGUAGGUGGUUGAUCGCGUCGGAAGUGUAAUCUUGGGGCUUAACCCUGAGCGUGCUUUCGAUACGGGUUGACUUGAGGAAGGUAGGGGAGAAUGGAAUUCCUGGUGGAGCGGUGGAAUGCGCAGAUAUCAGGAGGAACACCAGUGGCGAAGGCGGUUCUCUGGGCCUUUCCUGACGCUGAGGAGCGAAAGCGUGGGGAGCGAACAGGCUUAGAUACCCUGGUAGUCCACGCUGUAAACGGUGGGUACUAGGUGUGGGGUCCAUUCCACGGGUUCCGUGCCGUAGCUAACGCUUUAAGUACCCCGCCUGGGGAGUACGGCCGCAAGGCUAAAAUUCAAAGGAAUUGACGGGGCCCCGCACAAGCGGCGGAGCAUGCGGAUUAAUUCGAUGCAACGCGUAGAACCUUACCUGGGUUUGACAUGGAUCGGGAGUGCUCAGAGAUGGGUGUGCCUCUUUUGGGGUCGGUUCACAGGUGGUGCAUGGCUGUCGUCAGCUCGUGUCGUGAGAUGUUGGGUUAAGUCCCGCAACGAGCGCAACCCUUGUUCACUGUUGCCAGCACGUUAUGGUGGGGACUCAGUGGAGACCGCCGGGGUCAACUCGGAGGAAGGUGGGGAUGACGUCAAGUCAUCAUGCCCCUUAUGUCCAGGGCUUCACGCAUGCUACAAUGGCUGGUACAGAGAGUGGCGAGCCUGUGAGGGUGAGCGAAUCUCGGAAAGCCGGUCUCAGUUCGGAUUGGGGUCUGCAACUCGACCUCAUGAAGUCGGAGUCGCUAGUAAUCGCAGAUCAGCAACGCUGCGGUGAAUAAGUUCCCGGGGCU
Molecule: ribosomal RNA, 1346 nt
Filed under: uncultured bacterium
Lineage: Bacteria
Description: partial 16S ribosomal RNA
Rfam family: Bacterial small subunit ribosomal RNA
Source: RNAcentral